CGCACUUCCCCUCAGAUCCUCUCCGGGGAGAGAACGAAAUGACGAUAAAACAGGGCGUCGGGGUGGGUGGGGGUUACUUGUUUUAUCUCCCCCUCCCCCGAAACGUUCAGACGCAGGGAAAUUAUUUUCGCGAACCGCAAACCCGACUGACAGAUCCAGUAGCGGCGAAGCAAAUGACCUUUUGGCCCGCGCGCCUGGCCCUGUUAAACUCCGCCGUUCCCUGCGGAAAUCAAAGCCCUUGCUGCGGUGAUCCAAAAAGGCCUUAGGCCGGUGUCGGCGGCUCUCAUGGUGGAGUUCAAGGAGCUUUUCCAGAAACCAAGAACCGUGUUACAUGGUCAUCCUAAACGAGACGUGUCGCUGAAACGAAUAGGACUUCUUUCCAGACUGAUCAACCUUUGAACUUGACGUGAAUUCAUCAUUGCAAGAGAAUGUUUCAUCCCUAAAGAAGCCUUGAGUGUUGGCUUGAAAUCUUUCCUGUUGAGAACUGUUGCUUUGUGGGACUCCAGGUUCUGCAAAGUGACCGCAAGAGGAGCCAUUGUGUGACCUUCUAAAAUCCCGGGAGUGUUAUCCGUGGAGG
Long non-coding RNA from Sphaerodactylus townsendi, 577 nucleotides. RefSeq lists it as uncharacterized. The transcript has 3 exons. The record is from RefSeq and is a predicted model, not a curated record. NCBI's taxonomy places the organism in Eukaryota, Metazoa, Chordata, Lepidosauria, Squamata, Sphaerodactylidae.